Molecule: ribosomal RNA, 760 nt
Filed under: Mannia fragrans
Lineage: Eukaryota; Viridiplantae; Streptophyta; Marchantiopsida; Marchantiales; Aytoniaceae
Description: eukaryotic LSU rRNA
Rfam family: Eukaryotic large subunit ribosomal RNA
Source: RNAcentral
GGAUUCCCUUAGUAGCGGCGAGCGAACCGGGAGAAGCCCAGCUUGAAAAUCGCGUCGUUUCCGCGGCGCGAGUUGUAGUCUGGAGAAGUGUCCUCUGCGGCGGACCCGGCCUAAGUCCCCUGGAAAGGGGCGUCAGAGAGGGUGAGAACCCCGUCGGGCCGGGACCCUGCCGCUCCACGAGGCGCUGUCUACGAGUCGGGCUGUUUGGGAAUGCAGCCCUAAGUGGGAGGUAAAUUCCUUCCAAGGCUAAAUACAGGCGAGAGACCGAUAGCGAACAAGUACCGCGAGGGAAAGAUGAAAAGGACUUUGAAAAGAGAGUUAAAAAGUGCUUGAAAUUGCUGGGAGGGAAGCGAAUGGAGGCCUCGUGUGCGCCCCGGUCGGAUGCGGAACGGCGUGAGCUGGUCCGCCGCUCGACGCGGGGCGCUGGUCGACGUGGGCUCCUCGGGCGGGACAAAAGUCGGCCUUCAGUGGCCGGCCGAUGCCGUCGGAGGGGCCGAGGAACGAAGUGCGCGCCCCCCUCGGGGGCGGGCUCCCUCGGGAGCACCUGCGCACUCGGGACGUCGGCGUAGUGGGCUUUUCAUCCGACCCGUCUUGAAACACGGACCAAGGAGUCUAACAUGCAUGCGAGCCGGUGGGCGGCAAACCCACGUUUGAGGCGAAAAUAACUUGACAGGUGUGAUCCCCUCUCGACCGGGGUGCAACAUCGACCGACCAUGAUCUUCUGUGAAAGGUUCGAGUAAGAGCAUGCCUGUUGGGACCC